GCUAGCGUGGCAGAGCUCGGCAAAUGCAAAAGGCUUAAGUCCUUUCUCCAGAGGUUCAAGUCCUCUCCCUAGCU
This 74-nucleotide transfer RNA is filed under the name Talegalla fuscirostris. Its description in RNAcentral is "tRNA-Leu". It matches the Rfam family "tRNA". Rfam says of the family: Transfer RNA (tRNA) molecules are approximately 80 nucleotides in length. Their secondary structure includes four short double-helical elements and three loops (D, anti-codon, and T loops). The record is from RNAcentral. Lineage: Eukaryota; Metazoa; Chordata; Aves; Galliformes; Megapodiidae.